UGAACGCUGGCGGCAGGCCUAACACAUGCAAGUCGAGCGGUAGCACAGAGAGCUUGCUCUCGGGUGACGAGCGGCGGACGGGCGAGUAAUGUCUGGGAAACUGCCUGAUGGAGGGGGAUAACUACUGGAAACGGUAGCUAAUACCGCAUAACGUCGCAAGACCAAAGUGGGGGACCUUCGGGCCUCAUGCCAUCAGAUGUGCCCAGAUGGGAUUAGCUAGUAGGUGGGGUAACGGCUCACCUAGGCGACGAUCCCUAGCUGGUCUGAGAGGAUGACCAGCCACACUGGAACUGAGACACGGUCCAGACUCCUACGGGAGGCAGCAGUGGGGAAUAUUGCACAAUGGGCGCAAGCCUGAUGCAGCCAUGCCGCGUGUGUGAAGAAGGCCUUCGGGUUGUAAAGCACUUUCAGCGGGGAGGAAGGCGUUAAGGUUAAUAACCUUGGCGAUUGACGUUACCCGCAGAAGAAGCACCGGCUAACUCCGUGCCAGCAGCCGCGGUAAUACGGAGGGUGCAAGCGUUAAUCGGAAUUACUGGGCGUAAAGCGCACGCAGGCGGUCUGUCAAGUCGGAUGUGAAAUCCCCGGGCUCAACCUGGGAACUGCAUUCGAAACUGGCAGGCUAGAGUCUUGUAGAGGGGGGUAGAAUUCCAGGUGUAGCGGUGAAAUGCGUAGAGAUCUGGAGGAAUACCGGUGGCGAAGGCGGCCCCCUGGACAAAGACUGACGCUCAGGUGCGAAAGCGUGGGGAGCAAACAGGAUUAGAUACCCUGGUAGUCCACGCCGUAAACGAUGUCGAUUUGGAGGUUGUGCCCUUGAGGCGUGGCUUCCGGAGCUAACGCGUUAAAUCGACCGCCUGGGGAGUACGGCCGCAAGGUUAAAACUCAAAUGAAUUGACGGGGGCCCGCACAAGCGGUGGAGCAUGUGGUUUAAUUCGAUGCAACGCGAAGAACCUUACCUGGUCUUGACAUCCACAGAACUUAGCAGAGAUGCUUUGGUGCCUUCGGGAACUGUGAGACAGGUGCUGCAUGGCUGUCGUCAGCUCGUGUUGUGAAAUGUUGGGUUAAGUCCCGCAACGAGCGCAACCCUUAUCCUUUGUUGCCAGCGGUCCGGCCGGGAACUCAAAGGAGACUGCCAGUGAUAAACUGGAGGAAGGUGGGGAUGACGUCAAGUCAUCAUGGCCCUUACGACCAGGGCUACACACGUGCUACAAUGGCAUAUACAAAGAGAAGCGACCUCGCGAGAGCAAGCGGACCUCAUAAAGUAUGUCGUAGUCCGGAUUGGAGUCUGCAACUCGACUCCAUGAAGUCGGAAUCGCUAGUAAUCGUAGAUCAGAAUGCUACGGUGAAUACGUUCCCGGGCCU
This 1359-nucleotide ribosomal RNA is filed under the name uncultured bacterium. Its description in RNAcentral is "16S ribosomal RNA". It matches the Rfam family "Bacterial small subunit ribosomal RNA", at positions 30 to 1381 of the family's 1533-position model. The record is from RNAcentral.